UGCCAGCCGCCGCGGUAAUACGGAGGGAGCAAGCGUUGCUCGGAAUUAUUGGGCGUAAAGGGCGCGCAGGCGGUCUUGUCCGUCAGGUGUGAAAGCCCCGGGCUUAACCUGGGAACUGCAUUUGAUACUGACAGGCUAGAGUAUGGGAGAGAGAAGUGGAAUUCCACAUGUAGCGGUGAAAUGCGUAGAUAUGUGGAGGAACAUCAGUGGCGAAGGCGACUUCUUGGCCCAAUACUGACGCUCAGGUGCGAAAGCGUGGGGAGCAAACAGGAUUAGAUA
This 279-nucleotide ribosomal RNA is filed under the name uncultured bacterium. Its description in RNAcentral is "partial 16S ribosomal RNA". It matches the Rfam family "Bacterial small subunit ribosomal RNA", at positions 506 to 784 of the family's 1533-position model. The record is from RNAcentral.